CAACGGGGAAAAGCCCAAUGAGGGAUCUCAGGUGCCAGCUCGUAAAAGUUGGCUGUUUUUCUGUCCCCCCUUUAAGGAGAGUAAGGGCUGGGUAAGAGGGGUGCCAGCCCCCUCGGUAAUACCUGCAGCUCAAGUGGUGACCGUUAUUAUUGGGCCUAAAACGUUCGUAGCGGUUUAGUAAAUGCCUGGGUAAAUCGUGUAGCUUAACUAUACGAAUUCCGGGUAGACUGCUAAACUUGAGACCGGGAGAGGCUAGAGGUACUCCUGGGGUAGAGGUGAAAUUCUGUAAUCCUAGGGGGACCACCAGUGGCGAAGGCGUCUAGCUAGAACGGGUCUGAUGGUGAGGGACGAAGCCCUGGGGCACAAACCGGAUUAGAUACCCGGGUAGUCCAGGGUGUAAACGCUGCUUGCUUGAUGUUAGUUGGGCUCCGAGCCCAACUAGUGUCGGAGAGAAGUUGUUAAGCAAGCUGCCUGGGAAGUACGGUCGCAAGGCUGAAACUUAAAGGAAUUGGCGGGGGAG
RNAcentral lists this ribosomal RNA (520 nucleotides) under uncultured archaeon. RNAcentral's name for it is "bacterial SSU rRNA". It matches the Rfam family "Archaeal small subunit ribosomal RNA", at positions 353 to 876 of the family's 1478-position model. The record is from RNAcentral.